RNAcentral lists this ribosomal RNA (490 nucleotides) under uncultured bacterium. RNAcentral's name for it is "partial 16S ribosomal RNA". It matches the Rfam family "Bacterial small subunit ribosomal RNA", at positions 30 to 507 of the family's 1533-position model. The record is from RNAcentral.
AUUGAACGCUGGCGGCAGGCCUAACACAUGCAAGUCGAACGGUAACAGGAAGCAUCUUGCUGCUUCGCUGACGAGUGGCGGACGGGUGAGUAAUGUCUGGGAAGCUGCCUGAUGGAGGGGGAUAACUACUGGAAACGGUAGCUACUACCGCAUAAUGUCGCAAGACCAAAGAGGGGGACCUUCGGGCCUCUUGCCAUCGGAUGUGCCCAGAUGGGAUUCGCUUGUUGGUGGGGUAACGGCUCACCAAGGCGACGAUCCCUAGCUGGUCUGAGAGGAUGACCGGCCACACUGGAACUGAGACACGGUCCAGACUCCUACGGGAGGCAGCAGUGGGGAAUAUUGCACAAUGGGCGCAAGCCUGAUGCAGCCAUGCCGCGUGUAUGAAGAAGGCCUUCGGGUUGUAAAGUACUUUCAGCGGGGAGGAAGGGAGUAAAGUUAAUACCUUUGCUCAUUGACGUUACCCGCAGAAGAAGCACCGGCUAACUCCGUG